AUCAUCGAUUUUUCAUACUAAAAACAAUCGAUUAAUUUUAUGCAAAAUGUCACAUCUCUAGUAAAUCUCUAGUAACCAAUAGAAAAGUAUUAAUUGGAUAACCAAUAGAAAAGUUCGAAAGUUAAAAUGGCGGAUUGUUUACAAAUUUGUACUGUUGCACAAAACAUCAAAAAGUGUUUUUAAAUAUUUAAUUAGUGUAAAUUACAACUCAGAUACCAUAAAUGACUCCAAGUGUCACGGAAGUGCUCAAAUCAAGGCCCCCGAGACCCUAUCUAGGGGUCUGAAUAAGCAAAUUCAAGCAAAAAUUACUCCAAAUCUCACGGAGGUUUUCGAAUCAAGGUCCCCCGAGACUCCUACACACUCAGUUUAAUCACAAUCAAGGUAUUGAAUAUAAGAUCCAACCC
Pieris rapae (cabbage white) is the source of this 404-nucleotide long non-coding RNA. RefSeq lists it as uncharacterized. NCBI's taxonomy places the organism in Eukaryota, Metazoa, Arthropoda, Insecta, Lepidoptera, Pieridae. The record is from RefSeq and is a predicted model, not a curated record. The transcript is spliced from 2 exons.